Non-coding RNA from Lingula anatina, 73 nucleotides. The record is from Rfam. NCBI's taxonomy places the organism in Eukaryota, Metazoa, Brachiopoda, Lingulata, Lingulida, Lingulidae.
GGCCUGUUGGUGAAGCGGUUAACACACUAGGUUCUCAAUCUAGCAUGCAGGAGUUCGAAUCUCCUACAGGUCA